Long non-coding RNA from Drosophila albomicans, 231 nucleotides. RefSeq lists it as uncharacterized. The record is from RefSeq and is a predicted model, not a curated record. The transcript is spliced from 3 exons. NCBI's taxonomy places the organism in Eukaryota, Metazoa, Arthropoda, Insecta, Diptera, Drosophilidae.
UGUAACCCUGACGAAGAGAAGAGUUAUUAGAAAUGGACCAAGUAAAGUCGAGAAAAGGAGAAGUUGAAUGGGAGGGAAAUAAGGGAUUAUUUUAUGAAUACCAAGGAAAUUUAUGUCUAAAAUCGGAGAGAAUUAAGGAAUCUGCAUCUGUAACCCAUUUCCAAUUCUAUCUAUCUUCGGCUCCAUCAUUUGUUUAAUUUCAAGACGAUUUAAAUACAUCGCAAACUGCAA